This 366-nucleotide ribosomal RNA is filed under the name Raja montagui (spotted ray). RNAcentral describes it as "eukaryotic LSU rRNA". It matches the Rfam family "Eukaryotic large subunit ribosomal RNA", at positions 1 to 360 of the family's 3401-position model. Lineage: Eukaryota; Metazoa; Chordata; Chondrichthyes; Rajiformes; Rajidae. The record is from RNAcentral.
AAAGUGAUCGCGACCUCAGAUCAGACGUGACAACCCGCUGAAAGCAUAUUACAGCGGAGGAAAAGAAAACCAGGAUUCCCUCAGUAACGGCGAGUGAAGAGGGAAGAGCCCAGCGCCGAAUCCCCGGCGCUUGGCGGUCGCGGGAACCGGCGUAUAGAAGACCUCCUUUCUCCGACGAUGCUCAGGGGCCCAAGUCCUUCUGAUCGAGGCCUAGCCUGUGGACGGUGUGAGGCCGGUGUGGCCCCUGGCUCGUCGGGAUGGAGUCUUCUUGGAGUCGGGUUGCUUGGAAUGCAGCCCAAAGUGGGUGUAAACUCCAUCAAGGCUAAAACUGGCACGAGACCGAUAGUCAACAAGUACCGUAAGGGA